ACGGCGAGUGANCGGCAAAGCUCAAAUUUGAAAUCGGCCCCCAGGUCGAGUUGUAAUUUGUAGAUUGUAUCUUGAGAGCGGAUUAAAGUCUGUUGGAACACAGCGCCUUAGAGGGUGACAGCCCCGUAAAAUCUAUUCUCAUUGUAAGAUACUUUCGAAGAGUCGAGUUGUUUGGGAAUGCAGCUCUAAGUGGGAGGUAAAUUCCUUCUAAAGCUAAAUAUUGACGAGAGACCGAUAGCGAACAAGUACUGUGAAGGAAAGAUGAAAAGCACUUUGAAAAGAGAGUGAAAAAGUACGUGAAAUUGUUAAAAGGGAAGGGUAUUGAAUCAGACUUGGUGCUGUUGUUCAACUGUGUUUUGGCNNNNNGUACUCAGCAGUACUAGGCCAAGGUGGGGUGUUUGGGAGUGAAAAAGAAGUUGGAACGUAACUCUUCGGAGUGUUAUAGCCUACUUUCAUAGCUCCUCAGGCGCCUCAGGACUGCGCUUCGGCAAGGACCUUGGCAUAAUGAUUCUAUACCGCCCGUCUUNAA
This 529-nucleotide ribosomal RNA is filed under the name Geotrichum candidum. RNAcentral's name for it is "eukaryotic LSU rRNA". It matches the Rfam family "Eukaryotic large subunit ribosomal RNA", at positions 86 to 658 of the family's 3401-position model. Lineage: Eukaryota; Fungi; Ascomycota; Dipodascomycetes; Dipodascales; Dipodascaceae. The record is from RNAcentral.